RNAcentral lists this ribosomal RNA (274 nucleotides) under uncultured bacterium. Its description in RNAcentral is "partial 16S ribosomal RNA". It matches the Rfam family "Bacterial small subunit ribosomal RNA", at positions 523 to 796 of the family's 1533-position model. The record is from RNAcentral.
AUACGGAGGGUGCAAGCGUUAUUCGGAAUCACUGGGCGUAAAGGACGCGUAGGCGGGUUGGCAAGUCAGAUGUGAAAUCCUACAGCUUAACUGUAGAACUGCAUUUGAAACUGCUAACCUAGAGUAUGGGAGGGGGAGAUGGAAUUAGUGGUGUAGGGGUAAAAUCCGUAGAUCUCACUAGGAAUACCGAAAGCGAAGGCGAUCUCCUGGAACAUAACUGACGCUAAGGCGUGAAAGCGUGGGGAGCAAACAGGAUUAGAAACCCUAGUAGUCC